GAUGGUAUAGUAUAGUGGUCAGUACAGCUCGUUGUGGCCGAGCAGACUUGGGUUCGAUUCCCAAUACCGUCA
This is a non-coding RNA of Xylariaceae sp. FL0016, 72 nucleotides long. NCBI's taxonomy places the organism in Eukaryota, Fungi, Ascomycota, Sordariomycetes, Xylariales, Xylariaceae. The record is from the annotation of a GenBank genome assembly.